Molecule: ribosomal RNA, 469 nt
Filed under: uncultured bacterium
Lineage: Bacteria
Description: bacterial SSU rRNA
Rfam family: Bacterial small subunit ribosomal RNA
Source: RNAcentral
GAUGAACGCUGGCGGCGUGCUUAACACAUGCAAGUCGAACGAAGACAUCUGAGUGCUUGCACUUGGAUGGACUGAGUGGCGGACGGGUGAGUAACGCGUGGGUAACCUGCCUUAUACAGGGGGAUAACAGUUGGAAACGACUGCUAAUACCGCAUAAGCGCACGGUAUCGCAUGAUACAGUGUGAAAAACUCCGGUGGUAUAAGAUGGACCCGCGUCUGAUUAGCUUGUUGGUGAGGUAACGGCCCACCAAGGCGACGAUCAGUAGCCGGCCUGAGAGGGUGAACGGCCACAUUGGGACUGAGACACGGCCCAAACUCCUACGGGAGGCAGCAGUGGGGAAUAUUGCACAAUGGGGGAAACCCUGAUGCAGCGACGCCGCGUGAGUGAUGAAGUAUUUCGGUAUGUAAAACUCUAUCAGCAGGGAAGAUAAUGACGGUACCUGACUAAGAAGCACCGGCUAAAUACGUG